AAACAUCUCUAUUUUACAAGUUAGAGACGAAUCAACAGGGCUACAGGACACAGCAAGCCAGGUGGCACAUCAUGUGGCGCAAGGUCGGUCGUGUCUUGUAUUCUUGUUGCUCUUCAUCUACCUUUCCUUUUCGUCUUUUUUCUUUCACGCCCGGUGAUGAGAAUUGCCAACACAAUAGAGUCAAGCUCGGAGACCCUAGUCGCCUCUUCGGAUGGUGCUGGUCUAUGUCGAGCACUGGCCUGUUUGACAGUUACUGAGGGUUCAUCUUUUUCGUGUCUUUCAUCAUGUCGCUCCUUAUCUUGGAUCCAUCAAACAACCUGUCAACAUUUUGGUUCCAAGGUCUCAUUUAUUAUGAAAAUAUAUGCAUGUAUUGCAGAUCAACUGAACAUGUUUCUGCCAAUCAAUCCCAAAUAG
Molecule: small RNA, 414 nt
Filed under: Cryptococcus neoformans H99
Lineage: Eukaryota; Fungi; Basidiomycota; Tremellomycetes; Tremellales; Cryptococcaceae
Description: Cryptococcus neoformans var. grubii H99 hypothetical RNA
Source: RNAcentral